GCCUCAAUGGUCUAACGGCUAUGACUCAUCCCUGUCGCGGAUGCGAUCCGGGUUCGACUCCCGGUUGGGGCG
Molecule: non-coding RNA, 72 nt
Organism: Candidatus Pacearchaeota archaeon RBG_16_35_8
Lineage: Archaea; Nanobdellati
Source: Rfam